AUGAUUCGAAGGGUUGCUACUGACCUAAAGGACUGGGACAAGAAUGUGUUGGGCAAUCUGGAUAAGAGAAUUAAGAAGUUGCGAAAGGAUUUUGAGGAGGUGAGAAGAGGAGAGAUCAGCCAGGAGGGGGUAAGAAGAGAACACUACCUCCGAGAGAAGCUGGACCGAUUAGAGCAUCAAAAAGACAUUUACUGGAAGCAGCGGGCUCACGUCAAAUGGUUGCAAGAAGGUGAUAAAAAUACCGUGUUCUUCCAUGCAUUUGCUUCAGAAAGAAAAAAGAGAAACAUGAUUAUGAAACUAAAAAGGGAUGGUGGAAGCUGGGUUGAGGGAGAAACCCCUCUAAAAGAGCAUAUUGCAAAUUAUUUCUUCAACAUAUUCUCCUCCUCGGCACAGAAUAAUAAUGAAGAAAUCCUGCAUGCUGUGCGCCCAAAAGUGACAGGGGAAAUGAAUAGCAUCUUGUGUGCGGAAUAUACUGAGGAGGAGGUUAGAGCAGCCUUAAAUUGCAUUGGUGACUUAAAAUCUCCUGGACCAGAUGGGAUGCCAGCAAUCUUCUUCAAAAAGUUCUGGCCAAUUGUGGGGGAUCAAGUGGUGAAGGAAGUGUUGUGCACCUUGCGAGGGGGUGACAUGCCUGAAGGAUGGAAUGACACACUUAUUGUGCUCAUCCCGGAGAAUUCUAAUCCAAGGAAAAUUAAAGACCUUAGGCCCAUAAGCCUUUGCAAUGUGGUGUAUAAAAUUAUCUCCAAGAGGGAAAGAAGUGGCGCAACGGGGUAUGCAGCAAUCAAACUAGACAUGACUAAAGCUUAUGACCGCGUCGAAUGGCCCUUCUUGAAGGAUAUGAUGGAAAAAUUGGGCUUUAAUAGAGAUUGGAUUAAAUUGAUCAUGAAGUGCAUUACCACUGUCAAAUACCAGAUCAAAGUCAACACAGAUGUCACUGACACAAUUAUACCCCAACGAGGUCUUCACCAAGGAGAUCCUCUUUCACCAUAUCUUUUCCUAAUCUAUACGGAGGGGUUCUCAGCCAUGCUUCACAAGGCCGAACUGAAUGGUUCACUCACAGGAAUCAGAAUCUGUAGGGGAGCCCCUAGUGUUAGCCACCUACUUUUUGCGGACGAUUCUUUGCUGCUGAUGGAGGCUAACUCUAAGAAUGCCCAACAAGUUAACCGCAUUCUGAACACAUAUGAAGCCUACUCUAGUCAAAUGAUUAAUAAAGAUAAGUCAUCAAUCAUGUUUAGCAAGAACACAAACGGAAGCCAAAAACAAGAAAUCAGGGAUAUCUUACAGAUCAAUGUGGAGGGCCUAUCAUCAAAAUAUCUAGGCCUUCCAACAUAUGUAGGACAAGCGAGGGCAAAGACUUUCGAAUAUGUAAAGGAAAGAAUUUGGAAAAAGAUCCAAGGUUGGAAGGAGACGUUGCUCUCGAAGGCAGGAAAGGAAACCUUGAUAAAAGCCAUAGCACAAACAAUUCCUGUCUAUAUUGUGGCAUGUUUUGACAUCACCAAGGGCCUGUGUGAAGAAUUGAACACCAUGAUUAACAGGUAUUGGUGGAGUCAAGUUGACAAGGAAAACAAAGUGCACCGGGUAAGCUAG
Molecule: ribosomal RNA, 1584 nt
Filed under: Triticum aestivum (bread wheat)
Lineage: Eukaryota; Viridiplantae; Streptophyta; Magnoliopsida; Poales; Poaceae
Description: partial small subunit ribosomal RNA
Source: RNAcentral